GGAAUGUAGCUCAGUGAUAGAGUGCUUGCCUAGUAUGUAUGAGGCCCUGGGUUCAAUAUCCAGUACCA
This 68-nucleotide transfer RNA is filed under the name Marmota monax (woodchuck). RNAcentral describes it as "tRNA.Thr". Lineage: Eukaryota; Metazoa; Chordata; Mammalia; Rodentia; Sciuridae. The record is from RNAcentral.